This 524-nucleotide ribosomal RNA is filed under the name Vuilleminia comedens. Its description in RNAcentral is "eukaryotic LSU rRNA". The stretch from base 208 to 361 matches the Rfam family "5.8S ribosomal RNA". The record is from RNAcentral. Lineage: Eukaryota; Fungi; Basidiomycota; Agaricomycetes; Corticiales; Vuilleminiaceae.
GGAAGUAAAAGUCGUAACAAGGUUUCCGUAGGUGAACCUGCGGAAGGAUCAUUAUCGAGUUUGAAAGGGGUUUGCAGCUGACUCUCCGGAGUAUGUGCUCGCCUCGCUCAUCCACUCUACACCUGUGCACUAUCUGUGGGCUUCGGCCUACGUCUUCACACAAACAAUAUGUAUCAGAAUGUAACACCGCGUCUAACGCAAUAAUACAACUUUCAACAACGGAUCUCUUGGCUCUCGCAUCGAUGAAGAACGCAGCGAAAUGCGAUAAGUAAUGUGAAUUGCAGAAUUCAGUGAAUCAUCGAAUCUUUGAACGCACCUUGCGCUCCUUGGUAUUCCGAGGAGCAUGCCUGUUUGAGCGUCGUGAAUCUCUCAACCCAUAAAUUGUUUGUUCAGUUUGUGCGGCUUGGACUUGGAGGCUUUGCUGGCGAUGUCAGCUCCUCUCAAAUGUAUUAGCUGGGCUUUGCUCGGUGGAACGGUUAGUGUGAUAAUUAUCUGCGCUGCCUAUUACAUCGGAUCCCGCUUCC